Molecule: ribosomal RNA, 253 nt
Filed under: uncultured bacterium
Lineage: Bacteria
Description: partial 16S ribosomal RNA
Rfam family: Bacterial small subunit ribosomal RNA
Source: RNAcentral
UACGAAGGGGGCUAGCGUUGCUCGGAAUCACUGGGCGUAAAGGGUGCGUAGGCGGGUCUUUAAGUCAGGGGUGAAAUCCUGGAGCUCAACUCCAGAACUGCCUUUGAUACUGAAGAUCUUGAGUUCGGGAGAGGUGAGUGGAACUGCGAGUGUAGAGGUGAAAUUCGUAGAUAUUCACAAGAACACCAGUGGCGAAGGCGGCUCACUGGCCCGAUACUGACGCUGAUGCACGAAAGCGUGGGGAGCAAACAGG